CAAUUUUGUGUUUGGCUCACAAAACAUAGAAACAAAAAAACAAAACGAAAAAAAAUCGAGAGACAAAAAACCUAAAAAAAAAUCUUCGUCUUCGUGAUAAAAGCAGUGGUUGUUGCUGCUGAUUCAGAUCGAGAAAUAGGCAGAGAUUGAGAGAUGAAAGCGACAGAUUAAGAGUUAAUCAGAAAUUCUGAACAUCUCGAUGGUGUUCGAUUAAAGAGUUGAUGGUCUUAUGGAUGAUGUUUCGAUCGGUGUUUGGUGAUUUAGGGUUUAAGAAGAAAUUGCAGAUGAACAGGAAUCCGAGCUGAAAUUGAUAUGGGUUUCUCGAGAUAAGGGUUAUUGAGAACUGAGAUUGAUGAUUUAGGAGAAUUGAAUAAUUUCAGAAACUAGGGUUUGGUUUCCUAGCUCUAAUCUUAUUUGUUUCCUAGCUCUAAUCUUCAAGAGCAUCAUCCUUCUGAGAUUUUCUAUCGGUUUAUUUAUUUAUACUUCAGGUGAUGCAAUCAAGUGUGAUUUGGGGGUUUAAUGGAUUUAACUCCUACAACAACAUAUACUUCAAUGCUUGAUAUAGCCUUUUCUCUGUCCAAUAUUGUGCCUUCGAUUGUUUAGGAUGUAUUCAUCUUGUUUCAGAAAAGGGUCGACCAACCAUGGACUAGAGUCUGGAUCAAAAGGAUGAAAAUGAUUUUGAGUACUUGGUACUCUUAUUCGACAGACAGUCACUCUGAAGGCGACCUUUUUUUCUUCGACUUCUUCAAAGAGGUCUGCAGAGUUGUGUAUGCUUGGACUUACUAUUGGAGCAGCACUAGGUACUGAGCGAGAAUACAAGUCCCUUAAAUAUGUCAAGACCAGCACUAGGGAAAAUGUCAAGACCACCAAGGAGGGGAGCAAUAUUGAACCUCAAUUCGCAACUGUCAAGUGAUGGCUUUGUUGUCCUCAGUUUGGUCUUUGCAGCUAUAGUAAGCCCCUGUCCAGAUGCUUUGGUCAUGCUACCACCUGUUGCUCCAGGUGCGCAAGCCUGUUAGAUACUGGAGUGUUCCAUAUAUUAUAGCGUUGAAGUAUAAGUGCUGGGCAUGUAGAAGAGUCCAGGGAGAACUAUGACAUUCAAGCAGAUGUGUUUCUUUUCAAUCACUUAAAGAAGAUAAAGAUGUAUCUUAAGUACUACAUCAAUGACAAUGGUUAUACUAUGAAGGUAAUCCGGGUUGCUUUUUCUGACAACCAGGGUGGGCUGUCAUGUUAAGCAUUCCGUCGGUGCAUAUGAAUCCUGCCAAGCACAAAUCGAGAUAGCAAAUACGAGUUUGAGAUUCAUUAAAAAGGUUAUAUUAUUUUUCAAUAUGUAUAAUGUGCAGUCUGUGAUGGUGUAAUUGAAUAUUCAAGUUGUUUUUAGAUUUGUUUGAAUUUGCACAUAUCUAUUCCCUCGACCUGAUGUGGUAAGGGUAUUUUUGCAUUUAUGUUGUCUGUGAUUACCAGUAGGAAUGUAUCUAAUGCAAGGUGUCUAAUUAUUAUAUGGACAUGUUAUUAUGAUUUACAUUAUAACUAAUGUUUAAGUGGAUGUCUACAUUAGUUGCGUCGAUCAUGCUGGAACUUUAAUUCAAUUCCAUCCCGUUUUGAUCCCAUAUCUAUGACUAACGCAAGAAAGUGCAUACUUUUUUUUAGACUUAACUCACUGAUGCCCUGUUAGUCCUAAUAUUCAUUUCCGUGUAAGGAGGAAGAUUGCUACCAGCCCACCAGGGUACGUACCAGUCCUUUUAUUUUUCCAUGGUAAAUGGCGACACAUUUUGUGAAUAUAUGCCAACGAUUUAGAUCUCUUUUUUAGCUCUAGAAACCGGUAACAUUUUAUAGUGUAAGCAUUUAGAUUGUGUGGGAGUUGGAAAAGCAAGAGCGAUAAUUAGUUGCACAUAAGGAUAAUCGUUUAACCUUAUAUUAAUAUUCAUUUUUCUUUCUUAUGCUUACGCGUAUUGCGGCAGCCAUAUCCAUUUUCUUCUUUUUAAAUGCGUGAACCCUCUUUUGGUAUUGUAAAAAUGUAAAAUCUCUUGUUUCAAUUUUUUGUUUAGUACUUUCUCUGUCAUGUUGGAGCAAAUAGAAUUUGUUGUACGUCAGCUUAGAAUGCUGGACAGUUUGCAGAAGCCUUGGAUGUGACAUAUGGCAUUCCAUUUUCGUUGAUCUAAUUUCAACUUAAUCCUCUGGUGCAGGUCAAGGCAAAGAGCCAAAGAGCGGAAUAGGCAGAGAGGAAGUCUUUAUACUUCUGUUCGUACAAACAGGAGAUUUCCUUUCAAGAAAACUGGCAAGGUACCGCAGUUUUUCUUACUUUUUCCUUUCAUAAUGUAGCUAUUCAUAGUCUGUAGGCUUCUAAUUUGUGCAAAUUAAACAAGGCAUCGGCAAAGUGUUGGCUUUUGACGCAUUUAUUUUGAAUAAUGUUUUACAUCUUGGAAGGACUUGGGUGAGGCGAAGCCGAGCUUUACCAAAUCAAAUAGGGACUUGGGCGAGGCAAAGCCGAGCUUUACCAAAUCAAAUGGGACUUGGGAGAGGCAAAGCCGAGCUUUACUAAAUUAAAAAAAGAGGUUGUGAAUUGUGAUGCACUGUAUUUGUAGUUUGUAGUUGUAGAUUGAAUUGGUGAACCAAGUUUGCGAAG
Molecule: long non-coding RNA, 2623 nt
Organism: Papaver somniferum (opium poppy)
Lineage: Eukaryota; Viridiplantae; Streptophyta; Magnoliopsida; Ranunculales; Papaveraceae
Exons: 11
Source: RefSeq, a predicted model, not a curated record